UCAUGGCUCAGGAUGAACGCUGGCGGCGUGCUUAACACAUGCAAGUCGAACGAACUUUCGGGUUAGUGGCGGACGGGUGAGUAACGCGUGGGAAUCUGCCCUCAGGAGGGGGAUAACGGCUGGAAACGGCCGCUAAUACCCCAUAUGCCGAGAGGUGAAAGGAAUUUCGCCUGAGGAUGAGCCCGCGUCUGAUUAGCUAGUUGGUGGGGUAAGAGCCUACCAAGGCGACGAUCAGUAGCUGGUCUGAGAGGAUGAUCAGCCACACUGGGACUGAGACACGGCCCAGACUCCUACGGGAGGCAGCAGUGGGGAAUUUUCCGCAAUGGGCGAAAGCCUGACGGAGCAACGCCGCGUGAGGGAUGAAGGCUCUGGGCUGUAAACUUUUUCAAGGAAGAAGAACUACGGUACUUAGGAAAUAAGCCACGGCUAUAAGUGCC
Molecule: ribosomal RNA, 437 nt
Filed under: uncultured bacterium
Lineage: Bacteria
Description: bacterial SSU rRNA
Rfam family: Bacterial small subunit ribosomal RNA
Source: RNAcentral